UACGGGGGGGGCAAGCGUUGUUCGGAAUUACUGGGCGUAAAGGGCUCGUAGGCGGCCAACUAAGUCAGACGUGAAAUCCCUCGGCUUAACCGGGGAACUGCGUCUGAUACUGGAUGGCUUGAAUCCGGGAGAGGGAUGCGGAAUUCCAGGUGUAGCGGUGAAAUGCGUAGAUAUCUGGAGGAACACCGGUGGCGAAGGCGGCAUCCUGGACAAAAACUGACGCUGAGGCGCGAAAGCUAGGGGAGCAAACAGG
Molecule: ribosomal RNA, 253 nt
Filed under: uncultured bacterium
Lineage: Bacteria
Description: partial 16S ribosomal RNA
Rfam family: Bacterial small subunit ribosomal RNA
Source: RNAcentral